UCCGGGGCACGAUUCUACGGGAGGCAGCAGUGAGGAAUAUUGGUCAAUGGGCGCGAGCCUCGCUAUCUCAGCCAUCCCGCGUGCAGGAAGAAUGCCCUAUGGGUUGUAAACUGCUUUUUCGCAUGAAGAACAUCCCUGACGUGUCGGGGACUGACGGUAAUGCGUGAAUAAGCACCGGCUAACUCCGUGCCAGCAGCCGCGGUAAUACGGAGGGUGCAAGCGUUAUCCGGAUUUAUUGGGUUUAAAGGGUGCGUAGGCGGUACUUUAAGUCAGUGGUGAAAUCCUGCAGCUCAACUGUAGAACAGCCAUUGAAACUGAAGUACUUGAGUAAUCUUGAGGUAGGCGGAAUGUGUAGUGUAGCGGUGAAAUGCUUAGAUAUUACACAGAACACCGAUUGCGAAGGCAGCUUACUAAGGAUUUACUGACGCUGAUGCACGAAAGCGUGGGGAUCAAACAGGAUUAGAUACCCUGGUAGUCCACGCCGUAAACGAUGAUAACUCGCUGUUGGCGAUACACAGUCAGCGGCUUAGCGAAAGCGUUAAGUUAUCCACCUGGGGAGUACGCUCGCAAGAGUGAAACUCAAAGGAAUUGACGGGGGCCCGCACAAGCGGAGGAACAUGUGGUUUAAUUCGAUGAUACGCGAGGAACCUUACCUGGGCUUAAAUGUGCUAUGACCGCCGGAGAAUUUGGCUUUUCGCAAGAACAGAGUACAAGGUGCUGCAUGGUUGUCGUCAGCUCGUGCCGUGAGGUGUCGGGUUAAGUCCCAUAACGAGCGCAACCCUUAUUUCAGUUGCUAACAGGUCAAGCUGAGGACUCUGGCGAGACUGCCACCGUAAGGUGUGAGGAAGGUGGGGAUGACGUCAAAUCAGCACGGCCCUUAUGUCCAGGGCUACACACGUGUUACAAUGGCCGAUACAAAGGGCAGCUACCGGGCGACCGGAUGCUAAUCUCUAAAGUCGGUCUCAGUUCGGAUCGGAGUCUGCAACCCGACUCCGUGAAGCUGGAUUCGCUAGUAAUCGCGCAUCAGCCAUGGCGCGGUGAAUACGUUCCCGGGCCUUGUACACACCGAUAACAGUAUG
This 1079-nucleotide ribosomal RNA is filed under the name uncultured bacterium. RNAcentral describes it as "bacterial SSU rRNA". It matches the Rfam family "Bacterial small subunit ribosomal RNA", at positions 325 to 1406 of the family's 1533-position model. The record is from RNAcentral.